AAUUUUUCGCAGUCUGGGUCUAGUUUCUUCUUUUACCCACAAUGCAAUACAGCCCACGUUGUUGACAUUGUUGUAAUGGCGAAAAUUUUUACCAAAGUGGCUUUUAGACCGAGAAAAUGAUGUCCAAAUCACAGUGAUUUCGGUAAGUUUUAAAGCUCUAAGUUCGUGACAAUGUUCUAUCUUUGUAAAGCGCUCUAGGGUAUAAGUUUUAGUAUAUUAUAAUUUGACAUAAGGCAGUCUUUUCAUAUCGUAUUUGUGUGUUUGUAUAAAUUCGUUUGUGUGUAUUGAAUAAUUUCAUAAAUAUAUUUGUAGCAUAUCUGCUACAUUGCCGCGAAGUGGUCACUGAAGCUCAGAUUACAUGAACACUAUAUUUUUAAUAAAAGACACAACAUGUGCUGUAUUUUACUGCAAUUUCCUUUGAAUAUAGUUGCAACAAGUAAAUAUUUCUUUUGUCUUCAGUAUUGGGCCUCUUGGCUGCAGGUUAAACCAGUUGAACAUUCUAUUCUACCCUGUUUUAUAGUGUUUAUGUAUAUAUGCUCAUACUGUGUAUAUACUAUGUAUUAGUAAAACUAUUGUAAGCUUGAUUUUAUCCCUUUUCAUCAUGUUCAUGAGCCUCAGUGCUACAGUGGUCAGAUCCAUAUUAAGUUCUCCCCUCUGAAUAUAGUGGCCUCGUUUCUCGGCUGCGAACCCUAUGACUUUCUCAUGUGAAAAUAAACAAGCGAACACUCUGCCGGAAGUUGUAGGUUUCAUCCCGGUAAUAGGAUUCGUCAUGUUUCCUCAAACAUAAAAAGUUGACACCAAAGCACUAUUACAAUUCAUGUUACAAAUAUAUAGAGCCAUAGUCUAGUAGGGAGUGAGCUGAAUAUUUAUUCCGCCUUCUAGGAUGUUCAUUGCAACCCAACAAGGACGGCAAUAAAGCGGUACGUAGCACCAUGGACUUCAAGUCUGAUACAAACAAAGGUCAAUGCCAGGCUGUUCUACUGCACAGGCAUUGUGAUCAGUUGAGAAUUCGAAAGAAAUAAAGCUUGUCAUUGCUGGACUUUGUUUUGAAAAUUUCCGAGAGUUUGAUCAGUGCCAACAAAGUUGUUCCCAUGGAAACAACCAGUCGUAAGUAAGCAGACCAAGCAAAUGAAAAUUGUCUGAGGCAGAUGGUCCAUCAGCAAAGGUUGGUCGCAAACCCACCACACCUUUACCAUCAAAUGAUACACGGUAUGACCAACUUGGACAUUGGCCCAACCCCGUGAAUGGUAACCGCAGUCGAUGUCGCCAUUGUAAAGAUGGGCUUUCCAAAAUAUUUUGCGGCAAAUGUAAGAUUUGUCUCUGCUUAGAGAGGGAGAAAACUGUUUUCUGGACAACCAUAAUAAAUAACUUUCAUUGUGAACAAGAACUUUUCUAUAUCUAAUGUUGCGAAUAUAUUAUACUGUAUAUACUAUAUAUAUACUAUAUAUACAAAUAUAUAUAUUUAUAUAUAUACUAUAUAUAUUAUAUAUAUAUUAUAUAUAUUUUAUAUACUAUAUACACUAUAUA
RNAcentral lists this long non-coding RNA (1527 nucleotides) under Paramuricea clavata. The record is from RNAcentral. Lineage: Eukaryota; Metazoa; Cnidaria; Anthozoa; Malacalcyonacea; Plexauridae.